Molecule: long non-coding RNA, 2710 nt
Filed under: Homo sapiens (human)
Lineage: Eukaryota; Metazoa; Chordata; Mammalia; Primates; Hominidae
Description: HSALNT0049284
Source: RNAcentral
GAUGCAAGUAGAUCUUUGUCCUUCCUGCUUGGUGGAGAUGAAUUGGGGCACUGUUCCUGAGCCAGUGGCCUCUGUGAACACUGGAACACUGCCUGGGUGUCCACCCUCAUGUGGAGAAGCCAUGGGGACAGCUGCAGAAGAGAGUACCCACCUGGGCAGGUCGCUUGGAAAGGGUCCUGACCCACCCACCAUGUCAAGCAAUUAUUUUUCUGGACAGCUUCCUGAUGUCCCCAAGGAGAGAGAGAGCGUGACAGCCAGUGAGGGAAAGCAUGCCACAGGUCCCGCCUGCUAACCUGGCAGGAGGGUGCUUGCAACACCUAAUUUAUCAACGCUUGUUUUCCCUGCUGGAGCCAAGUACACAAAAUCACUCCGCCAACAGAGAAAGAGAAAGGGGAAGCCAUUCUUCACCUUUUUCAGUAAUGUAUUUUUGUUUUGGUCAAUUUCCCAGAUAAAUUAUGGUCUUGUCUCAUUGCUGCAUUGGUGGAAUUCUUGCUAGUGUUAUUUAGUACAUUUUAAAGCUGUGUGAAACCAAAAGGUACUUAAAAAAAAAAAAAAAAGGAAAGUUAACCAAAUUGAAGGGUAAAUUUUUUACAUUGUUCCACUGGCUCCAGUUGGAGCUUAAUCAUCACGACCCUUCCUUCAGUCCACAGCGCCUGCUUCAAGAUGCAGCAGAAGUCAAAAUUGCAAGAGUCUGGAUGUUUUGCUUUCGUGUAACUCAUUAGGCAUUUCCCCCUGUGCUAUGAUAAAUGUCUCUCUCAACCAGAAAUUUUAUCUCACCUGUGUAUGUCCCUAUUUCACUCUGCGGAAUCACUCUCAGGAAAUACAAGCUAAUGAUGUCUGUGGUUCUGAAAUUUCCUUGUUAUUAUUUGUUUAAGACAUUUUUUAAAAAAACCUGUGGACAGCUUAUUAAAAGGAUGCUGAGCAAUGAAAACAUUAUUAGACCAUAUUAUUGUUUAUUGUACCCAGAUGUCGUGCAUUUUACACAUCCCAAAGGAUUAGUAGUAAUGUUGGAUACCAAAAUCUUACUUUUCCUUGCAGAUAUUGAGACUAAAUUUUUCUCAUUAAAAACAAAACAUUUACACUGAACAAAUGGUGCGUGUCCGGGUGAAGCAUCAGGUCUCAAGAAGGCAACACUGCUCAAACGAGACUUAGGACAGAACUGGAGACCAAAACAAAGCUGAGGCUACUGUUGGAAAUACUGGUCUAAAAAAAGGAAGAGUGUGGUAUGCUUGUUUUUUAGUUUUAUAGAAUUUUCCAUUUGGAAAGGAGAGAAAUGCAUACAUCCAAGCUGAAAUAAACCAUUCUAGCAAACAUGCCGAGGAAUAAUUUUCAAGAAUGUUUUGUUUUUAAUGAAAAGGAAAGCAAAUCAAAGAAAACCUGGGUAAGUGUUAAAGAGUACUAAAUUUAUAGUAAGGUUCAGGCAAUCUGCCCACUGCAAUCAGAAAGGUUUGGGCUGUUAGUCAUUUAAGACACACAAUGGGAAAAUAAACAAAGAAGGAGGAAGGGGGAAUGGUAAACUGUAGUUUGGCAGCAAAAUUAGUCCAGCUAGUUCCAUUACAUAUUAAACCAUGUCACAAAGCAAAUAAUUGAAAUAAUGAGGAGCUCAUUUUUUAAAAGAUAUAUAGAGUAGCAUAACAGAAUCAACAAAAAUAAGACUGUUUUAUAUAACAAUUCAAUAGACAAUAAAUAAGCACUCCAUUUGGGGAAAAGAAUCACACAAUAAAUGAUGCUGGGAUGGCUUGUGAGUAAUUUGGAGAAAACUGAUCUAGAAUGAGAGCGAGUAUUCCACAUUCGCCACUCUCUUGUCUUUUGGCUUUCUAUCACCUUGGCCAAUGGAGGAAGACAGCAAAAAACAGGAAGGAGGAAGAGUAUGAAGGGAGUCAUUUCUCCCCGGCACUCCAUGCCAGGUUGCUCCAGAAGGCUGUGUCUCUGUCCUAAGGGCUACAGCUUGGCUUGGGCAGUCUUUCCAUACAACUCUCCAGGUUCGGGAAAUUGCUUACUCAUCUGCCCCUGCAAGUGCAGGGAUGACAAUCACUUCCAGCUGAGCUGAGCCCAGCAUGCUGCAUCAUUCUUUGUUGAUGUCCCUCAACUCCGCUGGCGCUAUCUUGAUUAUCCUUAGGCUUACCUCAGUUCCCCAGUCCUAGUGGGCCUUCUGGUUCCUCCUGGGGCACUGACUGAUCCAGGUGCCCUGGGGUUCAGUCGCUAAGUUUCAGCUUCCUAUGUGAUGGGGUUUGGUUCUGUCCUUGUCUAAAUCUCAUGUUGAAUUGUAAUCCCCAGUGCUGGAGGUGGGGCCUGGUGAGAGGUGACUGGAUCAUGGGGUGGAUUUCUCACGAAUAGUUUAGUGCCGUUCCGUUGGUGCUAUCCUCAUGAUAGUGAGUGAGUUCUUGCAAAAUCUGGUCAUUUAAAAGUGCUCCUGCUUUUGCCAUGUGAUGUGUGACAUGCGUACUCCCGCUUCACCUUCCACCACGAUUGUAAGUUUCCUGAGGCUUCCCCAGAAACUGAGCAGAUGCCAGUAUCAUGCUUCCUGUACAGCCUGAGGAUCCAUGAGCCAAUUAAACCUCUUUUCUCUAUAAAUUAUCCAGUCUCAGGUAUUUUUUAUAGCAAUGCAAGAACAGCCUAAUACUGUGCAAUUUCAGAAUCCCAAGUUUCUCUAUUUACCCAAGACCGGGGGGUGCUCCCGCGGCCUGAUUCAUGCUCACAGACAUGCAAA